Molecule: transfer RNA, 359 nt
Filed under: uncultured Microcystis sp.
Lineage: Bacteria; Bacillati; Cyanobacteriota; Cyanophyceae; Chroococcales; Microcystaceae
Description: partial 16S-23S ribosomal RNA intergenic spacer
Rfam family: tRNA (bases 134-207)
Source: RNAcentral
AAAGGGAGACCUAAUUCAGGUAGGAGACGAAAAAAAAGUAGUCCCUACCAAGAAUCAAUCCCAAAAGGUCGGAACGAGGUAUGUGGCUUUCAAACUAGGUUCUGGGUUCAUAAAAGACCUGAAUCAGGAACAAGGGCUAUUAGCUCAGGUGGUUAGAGCGCACCCCUGAUAAGGGUGAGGUCCCUGGUUCGAGUCCAGGAUGGCCCACCUGCACAGGUGGCAAAAACAAGAGAAACGAGGAAUCAGCACCUUAUCUUACUUACAUAGUAAGAGAGAAUGCUGGCUCUGAGUAAAGAGUCCAGAGGAACCUUGAAAACUGCAUAGAGCUAGGUGAAAAAGCCAAAAAAGAAGACCGCAAG